CCUGCUUUUCCAUAUUAGCUAAUCCCUCGCCUACGCCUCCAAAACGUCGAAGCCGCACGUGAGGAUCUCCAUAAUAGCAAAUUUCUUUCGUGCAAACCAUUUCUCCUUGCGCUCGCUUCACUGACCGCCGGCCAGACCCAAAAGCCGCACACGCACUGGCCGUGGGUCCCACUUUGUCAUCUCUAUCCUUAUCCCACCGUAGCAAUCUCAAUAGAUACCGUAACAGACUCAGCAGAUGAACGCAUCCGCUGCGCUGGCCAUAGACUGGUGGGGCCCCACGUCUCCGCGCAUGCCAGCCGCCUGCUCCCGCGAUUCCUCCCAUGGGCGCUCGGUGCGCUGGCCGGGUGGCGGGAUCUCCUCCUUAUUCGCCCGUGUAACAAACCUCCCACUCGUCGGGUCUAUCUAUAACCGGGUUUGGGCAUGGGGCGAUAAAGGCAGGGACCUCCAAACCCCACCCUCCAUCUUCCAGAAGCCCUCAUCUCCCUUACCGCCACUCCCAGCCCUGAGGCUGACACCCUCUCCCAUGGAGCCUUGAGCGCCAGAAACAGCCCUGUCAUGGUGCCGCGCCGCAGCAUGGGCAACGCUGCUGUCGCCACCGGGAGCGGCCGGACGGAGGAAGCUUUCGUCGUUCGGUUGGGGCGUUAUCCCGGCGCCAUAACCGUGCCCCUCUGCUCGACUCUUUCUUCCCCGCGCUCUUCUCUCCCAACUUCGGUCGCGGGUGUCGGGGUCCAGACUCUGCACUGCACGGUGAGACACUCCCUAUUUUUUUUACCAUCACUAUCCUCUGCACUCCGCGUAGUAUCCAUCGGAUGGAGUUUUAGGGACCCGGAUGGGAUUUUGAUGGGUGCUGGCAUGGCGCCGCCGUGAGGUGGAAGAAGGGUUGGUAGCCGCUGGAUGGGGAGAGAACGGUUGGGAUUAAAGCUGAGAUCCCCCUUCGAUGCAUUGUGCCCGUGUCGCUGGAGCUUCGGCCAAGGGCCAGGAUUAGACCUCAGUGUGUUUAGGUUCGCGCCGUUAGAUCGUAUUGGACGGUUGGGGCGAGAUCUGGGGCUUAAUAAAAUCGUGACCGCAGAUCUGGCGUUGUGCGGUCGAUGUUGCACACCGGUUCGGAAUGAAUCUGGAUCUAAUCGGCACCCUCACUUUCAGAUCCAACGGCCAGAAUUGACCUGUACCCCUUCAGCCAUGUAAUCUUGCAUAAGAAACCCUAUCUUUAUUAGGAGUAAACCCGCAGACCACAGAUUCUAUUCACUGAGUCUAGGAAAUUUUACCCCAGAGACCCUGAACUUCUCUGUUUUUGUUGCGCAGUUCAAACAAUUAAUAAAACGGGGAAAUCAAUUUAGAGAAUGAUUUUUAGUACGAAAUUUAUUACAGAAACUUGUAAAAUUCCUAGAAAUUUAAUAUGAAGUCCAAAUCAAUCCAUUCCAAUUUAUAUAGUUUUAUAAUAUUAUUUUUUAUCAAUUAGUAUCACUAUUUUGACAUGAAGAUCACAAUAAAAUUUAUAUCCUAUUCAAUCUUGUACAGAACACAUAGAAUCUCUUGAAAUUCAUAACUUAAAAUCUAUAACUCCGAUUUGAUCCGUUCAAGAUGCGUUAGUCUCGUAUAAAUAUUUACUAUGCAAUAACACUAUUUAUUUUACCAUAUCUCAUUAUUUUAUGAUUAGAUCUUUAUUUAACUUAUAUUGGUUAGUCUCGUUAAUGUGUUCAUCAUUAUUUACUAAACUAUGAUAUAUGGCCAAUUUAAAAUUUAGAUUAAAGUUGAGAUAAUUAUUUAUAGAAUAACCUCUUAUAUGAUUUAUAUUAACCAAUUUAUAAUAUAGUUUAAUAUUUUAAUCACAUAAAUCCUGUAUAAAAUCAUAACUCCUUAACCGUAACUCUGAUUUUAGUGGUUCUCGUUCCCACGAUCUCGUAGCGACGCGUAGAUCAUUAUUAUGCAAUUUGUUCUUAUGUUUGGUAUGUUGUUAAUUUUUUCCAUACCAUGUUUGUUUGUAUUGCUACGACUAGCGCGAGGUUUCGAGGAUCUGAAGAAUCACCCUGGUAUCUGAAAUCUUAAGUGCCAAGCAAGUUGUGCCCUUGGUCCACUUUUGUUACCCAAUAAUAUUCUUUAUUAUCACUAUUCAAUGCAUAGGUUUAAUUUUGAUGGGACCCAAUAGAUCACCCUAAUCUGUUUAUCCAUUUUACCUUAUUAUCCCUAAAACACUUGGGUAGUUUUUGCUAUUGCUUUACAUGGUUUUGGGAUAAUAUUUCAUUAUAUUCAUGUUUCAAUUAUUUUGUUAUUCUGUUUAUGUUCAUGUCAAGAUCAUUAAUGUUAAUUGGAACAUGGAGCUUAACUUGAGAAACACGUACCACCACAAGGGUGGAAUGGGACGCCCUUGGCUGACUAAUUAGGAAAGCUAGUGGAAGACUACCUUACCCGAAAGGGGAAAGGGAAGUAGGGGAGUUGCAUGCAAGGAGGUUCUCGGGUUGAUUUUGCUGCGAUGGUGGUCACACGAGUGAUUCUUGCAAGUGCUCUUCCCAUAACUGUAGCAGGUUUUCGGAAGCUAGUAGAACUUUGUAAAGGCCUCGUAGUGGAUCCCUAGCCAUUCACCUUGGUAGUGUCUAAGGGUCUAGCUAAUCCUGGCGACAUGGGAUACACGACUUGUGGGUACAAGGUACAACCUCUGUAGAGUGUAAAACUGGUAUACUAGCCGAGCUCAUGGUCAUGAACAGCUCAGGACUCUCGCAUGAUUAAUUUAUGAAACUUAAAUUCAAUUUGUCAUAUGCAUUGCAUGAGAUUUAUUAUUAAUUUUGUUCUAUUAUUAUUUAUUAUGGUUUGGUAUUUACUUACAUUUAGUAACUACUAAUAAAAUUUGACCAACUUAUUAAAAGCAAUGCUCUGCUUUAACCCCUAUUGUUGAUCAGCCUUACACAUCACAUGAACUCCCACCUUUGGUGAGUUCAUGCCACAUUAUUCCCCAUAACUUGUUGAGCGAUGAACAUGUGUGAGCUCACCCUUGCUGUCUCACACCCCCCACAGGAGAAGUACAGGUGGUUCAAGAGGAGCCACACAACGAGGAGUUCGAUUUGAUCUAGGUGGCGUCUCCCAGUUGACUUUCUGGCGCCAAGAACGAUCCUUAGUUCGUUUUAUAUUUAUAAUUUAUUUUGUAAGUCUUCCGAUAUGUAAUAAAAAUCUGAUUAUAUCGUGACAUUUAUCUCUAUACACUCUGUUAUUAUAUAUGUUGUCUUCUUUGGCGCAUGUAUGAGAUGCACCCGGCUUUGUCCCUUAAAAUCGGGUGUGACAGCAUUUAACUCAUCAUUUAAAUUAUUUAAGCUAGAUAUAGAUUCAUGACAGGUAGACACUUCAGAAGAUAGCAGUUCAUUCUUCUAAUUUCUAAAGCAAGGGAUUUUUGAACACUAACAAAUUUAUCAUGUUCCUCAUACAAAAUGUCCUCUUGCUUUUCUAGAAGUCUAUCCUUUUCAUUAAGAGCAUCAAUUAGUUUAUUUAUUUUGUCUACUUUAGCUCUAUCUAGUCCUUUAAAUAAAUCAGUGUAAUCUACCUCAUCGCUAGAAGAGUACUUGGGCGUAUCUCGAAUGCGUACCUUCUUCUCCUUAGCCAUAAGGCAAGUAUGGCGUUCGUUAGGGAAGAGCGAAAAUUUGUCGAAGGCCGAGGCAGCCAGUCCUUCAUCGUUGGAGUCGGAUGAAGAGCAGUCGAAAUCCCAUUCCUUUCCUAGGUGCGCCUCGCCCUUCGCCUUUCUGUAGUUUUUCUUCUUCUCCCUCUUCCCGUGCUUUUCUUGUCCCUGGUCAUUAUCAUUAUCGGGGCAUUGAGCUAUGAAAUGACCAGUCUUACCGCAUUUGAAGUAGGAGCACUUUCCCCUUGUUUUAUUCUUCUUGGGGUACUCCUUGCGUCCUUCUAGCGCGGUCUUGAAACGCUUGAUGAUAAGCGCCAUUUCAUCUUCAUUGAGCCCAGCAGCCUCCACUUGUGCUACCUUGAUUUGUAGUGCCUCCUUGCUGCUAGUUGCUUUGAGAGCAACAGGCCGCGGCUCGUAGAUGGGCAGUGGACCAUUUAGCGCAUCGUCCACGUAUCGCGCCUCCUUCACCAUCAUGCGCCCGCUCACAAAUUUUCCGAGGAUUUCCUCGGGCAUCAUCUUGGUGUACCUGGGGUUUUCACGAAUAAGGUUCACAAGAUGAGGAUCAAUUACUGUAAAUGACCUGAGCAUGAGUCGGACGAUGUCAUGAUCCGUCCAUCUUGUGCUUCCAUAGCUUUGGAUUUUGUUGACCAGGGUUUUGAGCUUGUUGUAGGUCUGUGUUGGCUUCUCUCCCCUGAUCAUCGUGAACCUCCCUAGCUCACCUUCCAC
RNAcentral lists this long non-coding RNA (4327 nucleotides) under Zea mays. RNAcentral describes it as "long non-coding RNA (ZMAY_LNC002332)". The record is from RNAcentral. Lineage: Eukaryota; Viridiplantae; Streptophyta; Magnoliopsida; Poales; Poaceae.